This 1394-nucleotide long non-coding RNA is filed under the name Lactuca sativa (garden lettuce). RNAcentral describes it as "long non-coding RNA (LSAT_LNC007361)". The record is from RNAcentral. Lineage: Eukaryota; Viridiplantae; Streptophyta; Magnoliopsida; Asterales; Asteraceae.
AGAGACCAAUGAAAUGAGACCAAGAAGCUUUAUUACACAAAAGUUCUUUGAAGACCUUUUGCUUCUGCUUCCCUGCUUACUAUUGCUAUCACCUCAACUGCUUUGACCUGCUCACUUAGAGUGAAGAUCAAUAAUGGGCGGAAAGGAGUUCACACAAGACCACAGAGCGAGAGAGAGAGCCUUCGCUUACCUGUUUAACCGUGCCCUCCUAUCACACCUAUCUCCCUUUUCCUUCAGUCACAUCCAGUCUCAGUUCUGCUUCCAACUACCGAGCUUGGACGUAUAGCAAGAUUGAAUAAGAGAUAUGGCAUACGGGAAUAGUAUAUGAAAUCACAAAGGCUGGAAAGAGACUGGAGAGGAGCGUGGAAAAUACUUAAUAAAGCACCUUAGCAAUUACUAGUAAUGCCCCUAUCGACCUCAGUCUUGUUUUNAAGAGACUAGAGAGGAGCGUGGAAAGUACUUAAUAAAGCACCUUAGCAAUUACUAGUAAUGCCCAUAUCGACCUCACUCUUGUUUUUUUGCUAGCUUUAGUCUAGAACUAGACUAUCUCAUUAAACGUCGAAUAUCCCUAUGAUGCUAGCCAGUGAAAAAGGAAGGAGUCUACUUCUUUGCUGGCUUGAUUCCAGAACUAGUAGAGGAAGGAAGCGAUGAUCGGUCUAUCCCAUUAAGCGUAAUCCCGCUAGCCAAUGAAAGGACUACUCUUCUUGGACUGUGAGCGACGACACCAGAUCAGAGCUAAGUGAGAGACGAUAAAUGCGAUUAAACUGCUUUAUAACUGCUCGAUUUAUAAGUCUUGCCUAAGUCCUAGACUUGAAUGAAGCAGCCUGGCUGAAAGUCGUAUUUGCUUUUGCUUUUCUUGUUCUCUUUUCUUAGUUAGGCCCAAGAAAGUACAAGAUAUAGCUUGACUAAUAUACUAAGAUGAUAGCUAGAGACUAGAGAUGAGAGUGCAGGAUCUAGAUUUGUAACAAAUAUUCGACUUUGCUUAUGCAAAUUGUUAUGUACCAAAACCAAAGAAUAUCGUCGAUGGGAUACAAAAAAAGAGGAUCCUACUUCGCUCAUGCACCGUCUUUUCACCCUCCUACCGCUGGUAAAGCUAGCAGUCUAAUAAAAUUUCUGCAUGUUAAGACAGCACACUAGUACAUUUUCAUUGACCACUGAGACCAACCCCCAAGCCCGGUCUUUGAACUAAUAAAGACGGCAUAGUAGAAAACUUCAAACUGACUAUCAUCGCGCUUGAAGUCCACCCAAGAGAGUUCCCCGACUUCUCAUGAUGAGCGCAGCGCAUCAAAUGGUGUUUGCGCCAGAGGAGGGUGGUGAGAACCAUUGAGCCAUUGGCUUUCUAAGCUUUUCUGAUUUGGGUUUCUCGCCCGCAUCACCGAGAGGAGGGCUUUUUC